This 253-nucleotide ribosomal RNA is filed under the name uncultured bacterium. RNAcentral's name for it is "partial 16S ribosomal RNA". It matches the Rfam family "Bacterial small subunit ribosomal RNA", at positions 524 to 776 of the family's 1533-position model. The record is from RNAcentral.
UACGGAGGAUCCGAGCGUUAUCCGGAUUUAUUGGGUUUAAAGGGUGCGUAGGCGGCCUAUUAAGUCAGGGGUGAAAUACGGUGGCUCAACCAUCGCAGUGCCUUUGAUACUGAUGGGCUUGAAUCCAUUUGAAGUGGGCGGAAUAAGACAAGUAGCGGUGAAAUGCAUAGAUAUGUCUUAGAACGCCGAUUGCGAAGGCAGCUCACUAAGCUGGUAUUGACGCUGAUGCACGAAAGCGUGGGGAUCGAACAGG